RNAcentral lists this unclassified non-coding RNA (342 nucleotides) under soil metagenome. RNAcentral describes it as "partial contains 5.8S ribosomal RNA, internal transcribed spacer 2, and large subunit ribosomal RNA". The stretch from base 1 to 120 matches the Rfam family "5.8S ribosomal RNA", at positions 35 to 154 of the family's 154-position model. The record is from RNAcentral.
GAUGAAGAACGUAGCGAAAUGCGAUAAGUAGUGUGAAUUGCAGAAUUCUGUGAAUCAUCGAAUCUUUGAACGCACAUUGCGGCCAUAGGUAUUCCUUUGGCCAUGCCUGUUCGAGCGUCAUUUACACCCUCAAGCCUAGCUUGGUGUUGGGCGUCUGUCCCGCCGUUUUCGCGCGCGGACUCGCCUCAAAGUCAUUGGCGGCGGUCGUGCCGGCCCCCUCGCGCAGCACAUUUGCGCUUCUCGGAGGCCCGGCGGAUCCGCGCUCCAGCAAGACCUUUCACGACUUGACCUCGGAUCAGGUAGGGAUACCCGCUGAACUUAAGCAUAUCAAUAAGCGGAGGA